ACGAACGCUGGCGGCGUGCUUAACACCUGCAAGUCGAACGGAAAGGCCCUGCUUUUGUGGGGUGCUCGAGUGGCGAACGGGUGAGUAACACGUGAGUAACCUGCCCUUGACUUUGGGAUAACUUCAGGAAACUGGGGCUAAUACCGGCUAGGAGCUCCUGCUGCCUGGUGGGGGUUGGAAAGUUUCGGCGGUUGGGGAUGGACUCGCGGCUUAUCAGCUUGUUGGUGGGGUAGUGGCUUACCAAGGCUUUGACGGGUAGCCGGCCUGAGAGGGUGACCGGCCACAUUGGGACUGAGAUACGGACCAGACUCCUACGGGAGGCAGCAGUGGGGAAUAUUGCACAAUGGGCGGAAGCCUGAUGCAGCAACGCCGCGUGCGGGAUGACGGCCUUCGGGUUGUAAACCGCUUUCGCCUGUGACGAAGCGUGAGUGACGGUAAUGGGUAAAGAAGCACCGGCUAACUACGUG
RNAcentral lists this ribosomal RNA (467 nucleotides) under uncultured bacterium. Its description in RNAcentral is "partial 16S ribosomal RNA". It matches the Rfam family "Bacterial small subunit ribosomal RNA", at positions 29 to 507 of the family's 1533-position model. The record is from RNAcentral.